Molecule: small nucleolar RNA, 131 nt
Organism: Pteronotus mesoamericanus
Lineage: Eukaryota; Metazoa; Chordata; Mammalia; Chiroptera; Mormoopidae
Product: small nucleolar RNA SNORA38
Exons: 1
Source: RefSeq, a predicted model, not a curated record
ACCUCCUACAAAGACAGGAUGGCGGUUCCCUGUCUGUUGACACCUAAGAACUGGAGGCCAUGAAAUGUGGACCUGGAUAAAUCUGCAGCCAGCUUGCUCCCUAUAGGCUCAAGAUCAGCCAUCCCACAUAG